This 508-nucleotide ribosomal RNA is filed under the name Protohermes hainanensis. RNAcentral describes it as "partial 16S ribosomal RNA". It matches the Rfam family "Bacterial large subunit ribosomal RNA", at positions 1828 to 2594 of the family's 2925-position model. The record is from RNAcentral. Lineage: Eukaryota; Metazoa; Arthropoda; Insecta; Megaloptera; Corydalidae.
GUCUUUUAGAAUAUAAUUUAAAGUCUAACCUGCCCACUGAAUUUAUUUGAAGGGCCGCGGUAUUUUGACUGUGCAAAGGUAGCAUAAUCAUUAGUCUUUUAAUUGGAGGCUUGUAUGAAUGGUUGGAUGAAACAUUAACUGUCUCAAUUUAAUAAAAAUAGAAUUUAAUUUUUAAGUGAAAAAGCUUAAAUAUAAUUAGAGGACGAGAAGACCCUAUAGAUCUUUAUAAUUUAUUUUUUAUUAUUAAUAUAGAAUGUUAAUUAAUAUUAAUUGAUUGAUUAUUUUAUUGGGGUGAUAGAUAAAUUUAGUAAACUUUAUUUUAUAUAAACAUUUAUUUAUGAAUAUUUGAUCCAUUAUUAAUGAUUAAAAGAUUAAGUUACCUUAGGGAUAACAGCGUAAUUUUUUUAGAGAGUUCUUAUCGAUAAAAAAGUUUGCGACCUCGAUGUUGAAUUAAAGGUAAAUUUUAGGUGUAGAAGUUUAAAGUUUUGGUCUGUUCGACCAUUAAAUC